AAUAUUACCUGGCAGGGGAGAGUCAGUCAUCUGAUCUGCUGGUCUCCCAGGACAAGGGUCUCCCAUUGCACUGCGGAUGUGCUGAUGCCUGCGAUGUCCCCAAAUGUGGGAUAGUCGACUGCAGAAUUUGUGGCGGUGGGGACUACGUUCGAGGGCACGCACG
Molecule: small nuclear RNA, 163 nt
Organism: Pristis pectinata (smalltooth sawfish)
Lineage: Eukaryota; Metazoa; Chordata; Chondrichthyes; Rhinopristiformes; Pristidae
Product: U1 spliceosomal RNA
Exons: 1
Source: RefSeq, a predicted model, not a curated record